This 457-nucleotide ribosomal RNA is filed under the name uncultured bacterium. RNAcentral's name for it is "bacterial SSU rRNA". It matches the Rfam family "Bacterial small subunit ribosomal RNA", at positions 29 to 507 of the family's 1533-position model. The record is from RNAcentral.
AACGAACGCUGGCGGCAUGCCUAACACAUGCAAGUCGAACGAAGCCUUCGGGCUUAGUGGCGCACGGGUGCGUAACACGUGGGAAUCUGCCCUUCGGUUCGGAAUAACAGUUAGAAAUGACUGCUAAUACCGGAUGAUGACGUAAGUCCAAAGAUUUAUCGCCGAAGGAUGAGCCCGCGUAGGAUUAGGUAGUUGGUAGGGUAAUGGCCUACCAAGCCGACGAUCCUUAGCUGGUCUGAGAGGAUGAUCAGCCACACUGGGACUGAGACACGGCCCAGACUCCUACGGGAGGCAGCAGUGGGGAAUAUUGGACAAUGGGCGAAAGCCUGAUCCAGCAAUGCCGCGUGAGUGAUGAAGGCCUUAGGGUUGUAAACUGCUUUUGUACAGAACGAAAAGCUCUUUCUAAUACAGAGAGUCCAUGACGGUACUGUAAGAAUAAGCACCGGCUAACUACGUG